This 384-nucleotide ribosomal RNA is filed under the name uncultured bacterium. RNAcentral's name for it is "bacterial SSU rRNA". It matches the Rfam family "Bacterial small subunit ribosomal RNA", at positions 28 to 416 of the family's 1533-position model. The record is from RNAcentral.
GACGAACGCUGGCGGCGUGCUUAACACAUGCAAGUCGAACGGUAAGGCCCUUCGGGGUACACGAGUGGCGAACGGGUGAGUAACACGUGGGUGAUCUGCCCUGCACUUCGGGAUAAGCCUGGGAAACUGGGUCUAAUACCGGAUAGGACUCCUGGCUUCAUGGUUGGGGGUGUAAAGCUUUUGCGGUGUGGGAUGGGCCGCGGCCUAUCAGCUUGUUGGUGGGGUAAUGGCCUACCAAGGCGACGACGGGUAGCCGGCCUGAGAGGGUGACCGGCCACACUGGGACUGAGAUACGGCCCAGACUCCUACGGGAGGCAGCAGUGGGGAAUAUUGCACAAUGGGCGGCAAGCCUGAUGCAGCGACGCCGCGUGAGGGAUGACGGCC